CAGUCGCCACGGUAAUACGAGGGGGGCAAGCGUUGUUCGGAAUUAUUGGGCGUAAAGGGUGCGUAGGCGGUUUGAUAAGUCAUCUGUGAAAUCUCUGGGCUCAACCCAGAGUCUGCAGGCGAAACUGUCGGGCUUGAGUAUGGGAGAGGUGAGUGGAAUUUCCGGUGUAGCGGUGAAGUGCGUAGAUAUCGGAAGGAACACCUGUGGCGAAAGCGGCUCACUGGACCAUAACUGACGCUGAUGCACGAAAGCUAGGGGAGCAAACAGGAUUAGAUACCCCAGUAGUCCCUGUCUCUUAUAC
Molecule: ribosomal RNA, 301 nt
Filed under: uncultured bacterium
Lineage: Bacteria
Description: partial 16S ribosomal RNA
Rfam family: Bacterial small subunit ribosomal RNA
Source: RNAcentral